Molecule: ribosomal RNA, 464 nt
Filed under: uncultured bacterium
Lineage: Bacteria
Description: partial 16S ribosomal RNA
Rfam family: Bacterial small subunit ribosomal RNA
Source: RNAcentral
CUACGGGCGGCUCCAGUGGGGAAUAUUGCACAAUGGGUGCAAGCCUGAUGCAGCCAUGCCGCGUGUAUGAAGAAGGCCUUCGGGUUGUAAAGUACUUUCAGCGGGGAGGAAGGGAGUAAAGUUAAUACCUUUGCUCAUUGACGUUACCCGCAGAAGAAGCACCGGCUAACUCCGUGCCAGCAGCCGCGGUAAUACGGAGGGUGCAAUCGUUAAUCGGAAUUACUGGGCGUAAAGCGCACGCAGGCGGUUUGUUAAGUCAGAUGUGAAAUCCCCGGGCUCAACCUGGGAACUGCAUCUGAUACUGGCAAGCUUGGGUCUCGUAGAGGGGGGUAGAAUUCCAGGUGUAGCGGUGAAAUGCGUAGAGAUCUGGAGGAAUACCGGUGGCGAAGGCGGCCCCCUGGACGAAGACUGACGCUCAGGUGCGAAAGCGUGGGGAGCAAACAGGAUUAGAUACCCUGGUAGUC